RNAcentral lists this ribosomal RNA (253 nucleotides) under uncultured bacterium. RNAcentral describes it as "partial 16S ribosomal RNA". It matches the Rfam family "Bacterial small subunit ribosomal RNA", at positions 524 to 776 of the family's 1533-position model. The record is from RNAcentral.
UACGUAGGGUGCAAGCGUUAAUCGGAAUUACUGGGCGUAAAGCGUGCGCAGGCGGUUGUGCAAGACAGAUGUGAAAUCCCCGGGCUUAAACUGGGAACUGCAUUUGUGACUGCACGGCUAGAGUGUGUCAGAGGGGGGUAGAAUUCCACGUGUAGCAGUGAAAUGCGUAGAGAUGUGGAGGAAUACCGAUGGCGAAGGCAGCCCCGUGGGAUAACACUGACGCUCAUGCACGAAAGCGUGGGGAGCAAACCGG